CCGAUACAAGCUUAAAUUCAUCCGCUGUUACCUUCGAUUUUCAGUCAUCCGUUCUGUUCUGAACAAUACUCCACCGCCACCAUCACCGUUUUCGCCAAUAAGAAGAGUUCUUAAAAUGACAAAAAGAGGACGACCAACAAAUUCACAACAAUCCCAGCAAGAGGAGAUGCAAUUGUGUAUGAGGACAACUAAAAACAAACGGUGCAGAGUGAGUUCCUUUCGUUGGAA
Molecule: long non-coding RNA, 228 nt
Organism: Salvia splendens (bonfire salvia)
Lineage: Eukaryota; Viridiplantae; Streptophyta; Magnoliopsida; Lamiales; Lamiaceae
Exons: 3
Source: RefSeq, a predicted model, not a curated record